This 235-nucleotide long non-coding RNA is filed under the name Setaria italica (foxtail millet). Its description in RNAcentral is "long non-coding RNA (SITA_LNC001319)". Lineage: Eukaryota; Viridiplantae; Streptophyta; Magnoliopsida; Poales; Poaceae. The record is from RNAcentral.
ACAUAAGUAGAGACUAAAUGUGAUCCAAUUAUCAGUCCCAGGAGGCUGAUAAUACAUUUAUUCAAUAGAUAGUUCAGAAACCGUACAACUCUCGAAGGAGCGGGCGGAGAAGCCACACCCAAAGUAAAACUAAAGCGAUAACAAUACAAAUCCAAGUUGCAGUCCAGUCGGACUCUGGGCUGCAAUCGAAACUAUGCGUCAGCGGAAGCAUCCUGCAAAAGGGCCAACACCGCAG